UACAGAGGGGGCAAGCGUUAUUCGGAAUUAUUGGGCGUAAAGGGCGCGUAGGCGGCUUUGCAAGUGACGGGUGAAAUCCCUCGGCUUAACCGAGGAACUGCCUGUCAGACUGCAUGGCUUGAGACCGGGAGAGGGGGGUGGAAUUCCCAGUGUAGCGGUGAAAUGCGUAGAUAUUGGGAGGAACACCGGUGGCGAAGGCGGUUCUCUGGGCCUUACCUGACGCUGAGGAGCGAAAGCGUGGGGAGCGAACAGG
Molecule: ribosomal RNA, 253 nt
Filed under: uncultured bacterium
Lineage: Bacteria
Description: partial 16S ribosomal RNA
Rfam family: Bacterial small subunit ribosomal RNA
Source: RNAcentral